AAAGACACUGAAACAGACGUACCAAGGAGAAUAUCCCCAAGGUCGCCAUUUGCGUUCAGAAAUCUGAUGAUUCACUGAAUUCUGCAAUUCACAUUGCGUUUCGCAGUUCGCUGCGUCCUUCAUCGUUGCGCGAGCCAAGACAUCCAUUGCUGAAAAUUU
RNAcentral lists this ribosomal RNA (159 nucleotides) under Toxoplasma gondii ME49. RNAcentral's name for it is "Toxoplasma gondii rRNA TGME49_458890". The record is from RNAcentral. Lineage: Eukaryota; Apicomplexa; Conoidasida; Eucoccidiorida; Sarcocystidae.